AGUGAAUUUAUGGAGGCGGGCAAAGUGGCGCAGGUUUUUGAAGGCAGUUUUCAGUCUUGAGGUGAGCGUUGGUUGCCCUUCUGUCACUGGCAUGGACACGAGUCUUUGGUCGAGUGCUUAACGUCAUUGCCUCUAACACGAUGGCGGGUGUGGCGCUUUUCACUUUCAGUUCCAUGAUUUUUCCCUAACGCGGUGGCCUGUCACGUGGUACGCGAGUGUGCGAAGCGCCAUUGGACGAGCAGGCGAGGAAGAUUUGAAUAGGCGGAUGUGACGUCAUGAAUCGGGGAUGGUUUCUCAGGGAAGCUAGCAUGCUAGUAAAUGUUUGUCGUUCAUUGGCGGUGAGAACUCACGACGGACGCCGUGUUUGUUUGUUGCGGGAUCCAAGGCGAGUUCUCAAAUGCAGACCGGUUUCUCGGGAUUCAAUGGGAGUUAUGAAAGACAGGCGCCACCGACCGUGUGGCGGUUUCUUGGGAUUCAAGGGGAGUUAUGAAAUACAGGCGCCACCGACCGUGUGGCGGUUUCUCGGGUUUUUUGUAUGAAACCAGUGAGCAGAGUGACGCACGCCGGUGAGAAGUCACACCAUCGAACUCCCUGACGCAGAGCUGUGCUUUACCAUUAGCCAGACCAGGCAACUGCCUGGGGCAAGGCCACUAGGGGGUUCUCUUAUUUAUCCAUUUUUACAUUUGGCAUUUGUCCCUUAUAUUUUUGCACUCUCAUACGCUGCUGUGACAAGUAAAUUCUCCUGUUGUGGAAUAAAGUUCUAUCUAUCAA
This is a long non-coding RNA of Syngnathus typhle (broad-nosed pipefish), 771 nucleotides long. RefSeq lists it as uncharacterized. The transcript is spliced from 4 exons. Lineage: Eukaryota; Metazoa; Chordata; Actinopteri; Syngnathiformes; Syngnathidae. The record is from RefSeq and is a predicted model, not a curated record.